CAUCCAAUGCAAACUGCUCUCAAACCGAGACCUAUAGGCAGUCUAAUACUUCGUCUCUCAUAUCCUGUAGCGAGGGGUUACAGGAAAUAAGUUUCGCAU
Molecule: non-coding RNA, 99 nt
Submitted as: unclassified sequences
Source: Rfam